AUUGAACGCUGGCGGCAUGCUUUACACAUGCAAGUCGAACGGCAGCGCGGGGCAACCUGGCGGCGAGUGGCGAACGGGUGAGUAAUACAUCGGAACGUACCCAGAAGUGGGGGAUAACGUAGCGAAAGUUACGCUAAUACCGCAUACGUUCUACGGAAGAAAGUGGGGGACCUUCGGGCCUCAUGCUUUUGGAGCGGCCGAUGUCUGAUUAGCUAGUUGGUGAGGUAAAGGCUCACCAAGGCGACGAUCAGUAGCUGGUCUGAGAGGACGACCAGCCACACUGGGACUGAGACUCGGCCCAGACUCCUACGGGAGGCAGCAGUGGGGAAUUUUGGACAAUGGGCGCAAGCCUGAUCCAGCAAUGCCGCGUGAGUGAAGAAGGCCUUCGGGUUGUAAAGCUCUUUUGUCAGGGAAGAAACGGCUGAGGAUAAUACCUUCGGCUAAUGACGGUACCUGAAGAAUAAGCACCGGCUAACUACGUG
This 482-nucleotide ribosomal RNA is filed under the name uncultured bacterium. RNAcentral's name for it is "partial 16S ribosomal RNA". It matches the Rfam family "Bacterial small subunit ribosomal RNA", at positions 30 to 507 of the family's 1533-position model. The record is from RNAcentral.